UGAAUGCACUUGGUUACUCAGUUGGUCAUAGUUUCAAGUGGCUACUAGCGCUACUCAUAGUCAUUUGACUUAAAACAUUAUUAACCUUCUGACAUGAGGGAAAACAUUUAUGAAUAAUGCACCCGGUUAUUCAGUUGGUCACAAAUUCAUUUGACUAGAGGAAAUGAUUAUUAUUUGUUCUUUUUUCUUUUCUCUUUUUUUCAUAUUUCCCAAUCUUAUACAUGAACUAUAAAAAUUUAGACACACAAAUCAGGAUAAG
RNAcentral lists this long non-coding RNA (259 nucleotides) under Carica papaya (papaya). RNAcentral's name for it is "long non-coding RNA (CPAP_LNC001459)". Lineage: Eukaryota; Viridiplantae; Streptophyta; Magnoliopsida; Brassicales; Caricaceae. The record is from RNAcentral.